RNAcentral lists this ribosomal RNA (369 nucleotides) under uncultured organism. RNAcentral's name for it is "bacterial SSU rRNA". It matches the Rfam family "Bacterial small subunit ribosomal RNA", at positions 526 to 895 of the family's 1533-position model. The record is from RNAcentral.
CAGAGGUGCCAAGCGUUAGGCGGAAUCACUGGGCUUAAAGCGUGUGUAGGUGGAUUGUAAGUACCUGUGAAAUCCCAUGGCUCAACCAUGGAACUGCUCGGUAUACUGCGAAUCUUGAGCCACUUAGGGGCUACCGGAACAAAUGGUGGAGCGGUGAAAUGCGUAGAUAUCAUUUGGAACGCCAAUGGUGAAAACAGGUAGCUGGGAGUGUGCUGACACUGAGACACGAAAGCCAGGGGAGCGAACGGGAUUAGAUACCCCGGUAGUCCUGGCCGUAAACGAUGUCCACUAGAUCGUGGUGGCUCUGACGCCAUCAUGGUCGAAGCAAAAGUGCUAAGUGGACCGCCUGGGAAGUACGGUCGCAAGGCU